GGACUACACGGGUUUCUAAUCCUGUUUGAUCCCCUUACUUUCGCGCCUCAGCGUCAGGUCUAAAUUAGAAAACCGCCUUCGCCACCGGUGUUCUUCCACAUAUCUACGCAUUUCACCGCUACUUGUGGAAUUCCGUUUUCUCCAUCUAGCCUCAAGAAAAAUAGUUUCAAAUGCUGUUCCGAGGUUGAGCCCCGGGAUUUCACAUCUGACUUAUCUCCCCGCCUACGCGCCCUUUACGCCCAAUAAAUCCGAUUAAUGCUUGCACCCUCCGUAUUACCGCGGCUGCUGGCAC
RNAcentral lists this ribosomal RNA (292 nucleotides) under uncultured bacterium. RNAcentral describes it as "partial 16S ribosomal RNA". The record is from RNAcentral.